This 868-nucleotide ribosomal RNA is filed under the name uncultured bacterium. RNAcentral's name for it is "bacterial SSU rRNA". It matches the Rfam family "Bacterial small subunit ribosomal RNA", at positions 28 to 896 of the family's 1533-position model. The record is from RNAcentral.
GAUGAACGCUAGCGGCAGGCUUAACACAUGCAAGUCGAGGGGCAGCGCGGUAGCAAUACUGGCGGCGACCGGCAAACGGGUGCAGAACACGUACAGAACCUACCUUGAUCUGGGGCAUAGCCCGAAGAAAUUCGGAUUAACUCCCCAUAAUAUAGAUGAAUGGCAUCAUUUGACUAUUAAAAAUUUAUUGGAUCGAGAUGGCUGUGCGUCCCAUUAGCUAGUUGGUAGGGUAACGGCCUACCAAGGCGACGAUGGGUAGCUGGUGUGAGAGCACGACCAGCCACACGGGCACUGAGACACGGGCCCGACUCCUACGGGAGGCAGCAGUGAGGAAUAUUGGUCAAUGGACGCAAGUCUGAACCAGCCAUGCCGCGUGAAGGAUGAAGGCCUUCUGGGUUGUAAACUUCUUUUACCUGGGAAGAAACCACUUUUUUCUAAGAGUGUUGACGGUACCAGAGGAAUAAGCACCGGCUAACUCCGUGCCAGCAGCCGCGGUAAUACGGAGGGUGCAAGCGUUAUCCGGAUUUACUGGGUUUAAAGGGUGUGUAGGCGGGCUUUUAAGUCAGUGGUGAAAUCUCCGGGCUCAACCCGGAAACUGCCAUUGAUACUAUUAGUCUUGAAUUUUGUUGAGGUAGGCGGAAUAAGUCAUGUAGCGGUGAAAUGCAUAGAUAUGACUUAGAACACCAAUUGCGAAGGCAGCUUGCUAAACAAAUAUUGACGCUGAGGCACGAAAGCGUGGGGAUCAAACAGGAUUAGAUACCCUGGUAGUCCACGCCCUAAACGAUGAUUACCCGACAUACGCGAUACACGGUGUGUGUCUGAGCGAAAGCAUUAAGUAAUCCACCUGGGAAGUACGACCGCAAGGUUG